This 1282-nucleotide ribosomal RNA is filed under the name Bacillus stercoris. Its description in RNAcentral is "bacterial SSU rRNA". It matches the Rfam family "Bacterial small subunit ribosomal RNA", at positions 75 to 1382 of the family's 1533-position model. The record is from RNAcentral. Lineage: Bacteria; Bacillati; Bacillota; Bacilli; Caryophanales; Bacillaceae.
CCACUUAGGAGGGACGGGCUUCUCUUGGAGGGGGAGGGUAAACCCUGGGACCCUCUUGAAAUGGAAAUCCGGGAACGGGGUUAACCGGUGUUUGAUGACCCGUGUUUAAAUAAAGAGGUGCUUUAGUCCCAUUAAGAGGGCCCGCGCCCUUAGUUAGUGGUGAGUAAGGCUCCACAGGGGACGUUGGUACCCCACUGAGAGGUGAUGGCCCAACUGGGACUGGACACGGCCCAGAUUCUUAGGGGAGCAGCAGUAGGAAUCUUCCGCAAUGGACGAAGUCUGACGAGCAACGCCGCUGAAUGAUGAAGUUUUCGGAUCGUAAAACUCUGUUGUUAGGAAGAACAAGUACCGUUCGAAUAGGGCGGUACCUUGACGGUACCUAACCAGAAAGCCACGGCUAACUACGUGCCAGCAGCCGCGGUAAUACGUAGGUGGCAAGCGUUGUCCGGAAUUAUUGGGCGUAAAGCGCGCGCAGGCGGUUUCUUAAGUCUGAUGUGAAAGCCCCCGGCUCAACCGGGGAGGGUCAUUGGAAACUGGGGAACUUGAGUGCAGAAGAGGAGAGUGGAAUUCCACGUGUAGCGGUGAAAUGCGUAGAGAUGUGGAGGAACACCAGUGGCGAAGGCGACUCUCUGGUCUGUAACUGACGCUGAGGCGCGAAAGCGUGGGGAGCGAACAGGAUUAGAUACCCUGGUAGUCCACGCCGUAAACGAUGAGUGCUAAGUGUUAGAGGGUUUCCGCCCUUUAGUGCUGCAGCAAACGCAUUAAGCACUCCGCCUGGGGAGUACGGUCGCAAGACUGAAACUCAAAGGAAUUGACGGGGGCCCGCACAAGCGGUGGAGCAUGUGGUUUAAUUCGAAGCAACGCGAAGAACCUUACCAGGUCUUGACAUCCUCUGACAACCCUAGAGAUAGGGCUUCCCCUUCGGGGGCAGAGUGACAGGUGGUGCAUGGUUGUCGUCAGCUCGUGUCGUGAGAUGUUGGGUUAAGUCCCGCAACGAGCGCAACCCUUGAUCUUAGUUGCCAGCAUUCAGUUGGGCACUCUAAGGUGACUGCCGGUGACAAACCGGAGGAAGGUGGGGAUGACGUCAAAUCAUCAUGCCCCUUAUGACCUGGGCUACACACGUGCUACAAUGGGCAGAACAAAGGGCAGCGAAGCCGCGAGGCUAAGCCAAUCCCACAAAUCUGUUCUCAGUUCGGAUCGCAGUCUGCAACUCGACUGCGUGAAGCUGGAAUCGCUAGUAAUCGCGGAUCAGCAUGCCGCGGUGAAUACGUUCCCGGGCCUU